Molecule: long non-coding RNA, 631 nt
Organism: Neofelis nebulosa (Clouded leopard)
Lineage: Eukaryota; Metazoa; Chordata; Mammalia; Carnivora; Felidae
Exons: 2
Source: RefSeq, a predicted model, not a curated record
GACAGCAUUGAGAUGGGGCAUCUGAACUGAGAGACCUGAAGGACAAGAGAGCUAGACCUACACUACAAAGAUCUGGGAGAACUCUAUUCCCAGAAGAGGGGAUGGCCAUCACAAAGGCCCCGAGCCAGGAAAGAGCUGGGAGUGUGUGAGAACAGCGAGAAGAGAUGGCUGGGGCCGAAAGAGUGAAAGGGAAGUUGGAGGACAAUGUGAGGUUGAGGAGGCUGCAGAGGUCACGUGACGGAGGGCUGCAGCAGCCACAGGAAGGAGCUCCGGAGUUUACAGUAAGUGCAACGAGAAGCCAUUGGAAGGUUUUACGCAGAGAAGUAAUACGAUCUGAUUUAUGGUUUUGAAAGACACCCCUUGCCCCUCCCCUCAAGCCGUGGUGAGAGGACUACAAGUAGGACACAAGAUUAGAGGCAGGACAUACAGGAGACAGAAGAACAUAACGAAGGACACCAAGUGCAACCAGCCAAAUCAGACAGGUACCUUUGUGAGAGGUACCAACAAAAUGCAAUGCACAGAUCCUGUUUGGAUUCUGAUCUGAACCAGUCAACAGUUAAGACAUUUAUAAGACAAUCAGGGAAAUCUGGAGACAGGUUGGAUACUGAAUAAAAUUAAGAAAUUAUUUGUU